Molecule: ribosomal RNA, 241 nt
Filed under: uncultured bacterium
Lineage: Bacteria
Description: partial 16S ribosomal RNA
Rfam family: Bacterial small subunit ribosomal RNA
Source: RNAcentral
GCGGCGGACGGGUGAGUAACGCGUAGGAAUCUACCUGGUAGUGGGGGAUAACUUGGGGAAACUCAAGCUAAUACCGCAUACGCCCUAAGGGGGAAAGCAGGGGAUCUUCGGACCUUGCACUAUUGGAGGAGCCUGCGUUGGAUUAGCUAGUUGGUGGGGUAAAGGCUCACCAAGGCGACGAUCUAUAGCUGGUCUGAGAGGAUGAUCAGCCACACUGGGACUGAGACACGGCCCAGACUCC